Molecule: ribosomal RNA, 517 nt
Filed under: uncultured Archaeospora
Lineage: Eukaryota; Fungi; Glomeromycota; Glomeromycetes; Archaeosporales; Archaeosporaceae
Description: SSU rRNA
Rfam family: Eukaryotic small subunit ribosomal RNA
Source: RNAcentral
CAGCCGCGGUAUUCCAGCUCCAAUAGCGUAUAUUAAAGUUGUUGCAGUUAAAAAGCUCGUAGUUGAAUUUUAGGCCUAGCCAGGCGGUCCGUCUUUGGCGAGUACUGUCUUGUUGUCGGGUCUUCCUUCUGGUGAACCAGUAUGUCCUUUAUUGGGUGUGUUGGGGAGCCAGGACCAUUACCUUGAAAAAAUUAGAGUGUUUAAAGCGGGCUAUUGCUUGAAUAGAUUAGCAUGGAAUAAUAGAAUAGGACGUUGUGGUUCUAUUUUGUUGGUUUCUAGGACCACCGUAAUGAUUAAUAGGGAUAGUUGGGGGCAUUAGUAUUCAAUUGUCAGAGGUGAAAUUCUUGGAUUUAUUGAAGACUAACUAUUGCGAAAGCAUUUGCCAAGGAUGUUUUCAUUAAUCAAGAACGAAAGUUAGGGGAUCGAAGACGAUCAGAUACCGUCGUAGUCUUAACCAUAAACUAUGCCGACUAGGAAUCGGGCGACGUUAUUUUAAUGACUCGCUCGGCGCCUUAUG